This is a long non-coding RNA of Oncorhynchus keta (chum salmon), 8491 nucleotides long. RefSeq lists it as uncharacterized. The transcript has 5 exons. The record is from RefSeq and is a predicted model, not a curated record. NCBI's taxonomy places the organism in Eukaryota, Metazoa, Chordata, Actinopteri, Salmoniformes, Salmonidae.
GCCCCUCCUUCUGAAAUGUUCUGAAAGCCUGGAUGAUCACAGAAGAGCAGCAAAACCUAACGAAGAGGAACAGAUGGGAUAUCAAGUAUCAAAUCCUUACCAGUCAGUGACCAUUUUUCCUAAAGAGAGUCGCAGCCCAAUGACAGCCGAGGUCGAGGAUACUCUAGUAUGAGUCGAAGGACCAGUAGCAGCCCAAUGACAGCCGAGGUCGAGGAUACUCUAGUAUGAGUCGAAGGACCAGUAGCAGCCCAAUGACAGCCGAGGUCGAGGAUACUCUAGUAUGAGUCGAAGGACCAGUAGCAGCCCAUGCGACCGCAACAAGUACGCCUGCUGCUCCUACGGGGGCAACAUGUUCGUUCUGGGAGGGAGAGCGUGCCACUCGCUUAGGGACUUCUGGAGGUAUAGUGUCGAUUUGUGGAGGUCUACAAUUUCCCCAUGAUGUCAAGCACAGAGGCACUGAGUUUGAAGGUAGGCCUUGAAAUACAUCCACCUGUACACUUCUAAUUGACUCAAAUUAUGUCAAUUAGCCAAUCAUAAGCUUAUUAAGCCAUGACAUAAUUUUCUGGAAUUUUCCAAGCUGUUUAAAGGCAAAGUCAACUUAGGUUUUGUAAACUUCUGACCCAUUUGAAUUAUGACACAAUGAAUAAUAAGUGAAAUAAUCUGUCUGUUAAAACUCAUUUUUAAACCAGCACAGAUUUCUUGUUAACGAACUAUAGUUUUGACAAGUCGGUUAGGACAUCUACUUUGUGCAUGACACAAGUAAUUUUUCCAACAACUGUUAACCUGUUGAGUGUAGGGGGCAGUAUUUUGAUGUUUGGAUGAAAAACGUACCCAAAUGAAACUGCCUAUUUCUCAGGCCCAGAAUCUGAAUAUGCAUAUAAUUGUCAGAUUAGUAUAGAAAACACUCUAACGUUUCCAAAACUGUCAAAAAUAUUGUCUGUGAGUAUAACAUAACUGAUAUUGCAGGAGGAAACCUGAGGAAAAUCCAACCCGGAAGUGCUGUUUUAACUGAAAGCUCUCUGUUCCAUAGCCUGCCUUUGCUCCAUUUAAAGGGAUAUCAACCAGAUUAAUUUUCCUAUGGCUUCCCCAUGGUGUGAACAGUCUUUAGAUAUAGUUUCAGGCUUUUAUUUUGAAAAAUUAGCAAGAAAGAUCACAUCACAUUUGGAUGGCUGGGUGCCAGCAGCGUUUUGCAUGCGCAACAGCUUGGAGCAGACAUUUUCUCUCUCUCUCCUAUUGAAGAAGCUACAGUCCCGGUUUUUCGAAUAUUAUCGAUUAUAUAUUGUAAAAACAACCUGAGGAUUGACUAUAUUAUUAUAUUAUUGACAUGUUUCUACGAACAUUACGGAUACUAUUUGGAAUUUUAGCUUGCCCGGACUUGACCGCUGGAGCCUGUGGAUUUCUCAACAUAAUGCACCAACCAAAUGGAGGUAUUUUGGAUAUAAAAAUAAUCUUUAUGCAACAAAAUGAACAUUUAUUGUGUAACUGUGAGUCUCUUGAGUGCAAAAAUCUGAAGAUCAUCAAAGGUAAGUGAUUCAUUUUAUUGCUUUUCUGACUUUCGUGACCAAUCUACUUGGCUGCUAGCUGUUUGUUUCAUUUUCCGGUCGAUUUCUCAGCCAAACGUGAAGAACAAACGGAGCUAUUUCGCCUACAAAAAUAAUAUUUUUGGAAAAAAGGAACAUUUGCUAUCUAACUGGGAGUCUCGUGAGUGAAACUAUCCAAAGUUCUUCAAAGGUAAAUUAUUUAAUUUGAUUGCUUUUCUUAUUUUCGUGAAAAUGUUGCCUGCUGCUAGCAGGGCAUAAUGCUAUGCUAGGCUAUGACAAACUUACACAAAUGCUUGUCUAGCUUUGGCUGUAAAGAAUAUUUUGAACGUCUGAGAUGACAGGGUGAUUAACAAAAGGCUAAGCUGUGUUCCAAUAUAUUUCACUUGUGAUUUUCAUGAAUAUGAAUAUUUUUCUUAUGUCCGUUGCGUUAUGCGAAUUAGUUAUUUAUGGAAUUUCUACAUAGGAGGCCCAUUUUCAGCAACCAUCAAUCCUGUGUUCCAAUGGCACCUUGUGUUAGCUAAUCCAAGUUUAUCAUUUUAAGAGGCUAAUUGAUCAUUAGAUAACCCUUUUGCUAUUAUCUUAGCACAGCUGAAAACUGUUUUCUGAUUAAAGAUGCAAUAAAACUGGCCUUUAGACUAGUGGGUUCGAUUACAGGCUCAAAUAUUUUUAGAAACAGAACUUUCUUCUGAAACUAGACAAUAUAUUCUUGUUCUGAGAAAUUAAGGCUAUUCCAUGCGAGAAAUUGCCAAGAAACGGAAGAUCCCGUGCUGUGUACUACUCCCUUCACAGAACAGCGCAAACUGUCUCUAACCAGAAUAGAAAGAGGAGUGGGAGGCUCCGGUGCAGUCAUUUACAACACUAAACAAUGUCUACACUGUAUUUCUGAUCAAUUUGAUGUUAUUUUAAUGGACAAAAAAUGUGCUUAUCUUUCAAAAACACGGUUAUGUCUAAGUGACCCCAAACGUUUUAACGGUAGUGUAUAUACUGAAUAAAAGUAUAAACGCAAUGUAAAGUGUUGGUUCCAUUUUUAUGAGCUUAAAUAAAAGAUCCCAGAAAUGUUCCAUACGCACAAAAUGCUGAUUUCUCUCAAAUUUCAUUCUCAAAGUUGGAAGCACAGAAUUGUCUAGUAUGUCAUUGUAUGUUGCAGCGUCAAGAUUUCCCUUCACUGGAACUAAGGGGUCUAGCCCGAACCAUGAAAAACAGCCCCAGACCAUUAUUUCUCCUCCACCAAACUUUACAGUUGGCACUAUGCAUUGGGGCAGGUAGCGUUCUCCUGACAUCCACCAAACCCAGAUUGUAUUCCAUCAGACUGCAAGACGGUGAAGCGUGAUUCCUCACUCCAGAGAACGCAUUUCCUCUGCUCCAGAGUCCAAUGGCGGUGAGUUUUACACCACUCCAGCCGAUGCAUGGCAUUGCGCAUGGUGAUCUUAGGCUUGUGUGUGGCCACACACAAACCCAUUUCAUGAAGUUCCCGACAAAGAGUUAUUGUGCUGACGUUGCUUCCAGAUGCAGUUUGGAACUCGGUAGUGAGUGUUGCAAUGGAAAACAGAUCAUUUUUAUGCGCUGCGCUCGUUAGCACUCAGCGGUCUCAUUCUGUGAGCUUGUGUGGCCUACCACUUUGCGGCUGAGCCUUUGUUGCUCCUAUAUGUCUCCACUUCACAAUAACAGCACUUACAGUUUAUCGUGGAAGCUCUAGCAUGGCAGAAAUUUGACAAACUGACUUGUUGAAAAGGUGGCAUCAUAUGUUUAUGUAUGUAUAUAUUGUGUAAGGUUAAUUUGAGCUUGUACACAUCCACAGCUGAAAGCUGAAUGACAUUAUACACAUUAUACACUAUACAGACAAAAAUAAAAUGUAAAAUAUGUACAUUUAUGUGGAAAUUAAGAGUUGAUUGAAGAGUUGAUUGGAGUGGAGGGAGCAUCGUUAGUCUCUGAGCAGAGGGAGCUAGACCUGGGCAGAAAAUACUUGUAUUUUGCUGUUUAUUUGAAAAUAGCAACUUUUCAAAUACUCAAGGUAGUCGAAUAUAGUUUCUAUAGAGUUUUAAAUAAAAUGCAACAAUUUUCAUUGACAUUCAAAUACCAGUCUCAGAAAAAAUGUAAUUUUUUAAAAGUAUUUUGAAUAUCUUUCAGAAAACCAAAUAAUAUUUGAAGAUAUUUCAAUAUAUAUGCAAGUUAUUUGAAAAUAGAAACAUUUUAGUUCAAUUGUCAAUAUAUUAUUAUAUUAUUAUAUUAUUAUAUUAUAUGAUCAUAAGCACAUGGUUUGGAGGACUCUGAGAUAUUUAUCUUAAUAUAGCCUAUAGCUAGAAUUAAAUACAAGGGACAUGAACUCAUCUCAACAUUGGAGUAGACCACUUUCGCAGCUUCAAAAGGAAGUAACCCAUAUAUUUUUGUAAUAAGUGAGACACAAGGUAAUGCAGUAACACUUGACAUCAACUUCCGACACAUAAGUAGUAACUUUGAUUAUUACAAUAGCAACAUAGUUGUUACAUAGGACUUUGAGGAAAUACAUGUAUUUAUACUUAUCUGUAGAAGAUAUGAUUGGUUUACUUAGUUUGACUUGAUUAUGUACAUCUAGGGCAAUGGACAUUCGGGAGAAUGGACAUAUACAGAAUGUUCAGAUAUAAAAGUUGCUUUCUGAGGCCUGUAUUCAAAUAGUUUCCCCAGAACAAAUAGUUCCUUUCCAUAAGCAUAGUUACAACGAUCGUUAUCUCAGAUCUGGAGGGAGCAUAACUCUGUUAGUCUUGAAAUGGUCUGCUACAAUCUGUUUAUGUCAGCCAUGCAGACUGUGAUUCAAUCAUGUUAUUAUAAGAAUGUUAUACAGUGAUGUUAUUACGCAUUAGGACUGUAAGUAUGGCCCUAACCGCUGUGUGUGUGUCUGUAGUGCACAAUGAGUGGACAGAGUUGGACUGUAGCUGUGAGGUGUUCUGGGUGUUUGAUAUUGCUAAGUUCCACUGUGGGAAAAAUGCAACUCAAUAACUACUGUAUGACACAAACAUAAUGAUCCAACAACAAUCCAAAACUCUUCUACACCUCACAAGAGAGGUGUUAAUAACACAUGUUCAAACUUGCAUCUGACAUUUAAAAUAGGGAGUGACGUCAAAGAAUGGCUGCCAUUCAGCCUCUGUUUCUCUGUGAGUCCUGCACGGUUUCAGUGUCCUUUCUCUUAUCUCUUGCAGUGAAAGAGCAGUGGGUGUAUUGGCAGGGGAAAGGGAACAAGCCUCAGGCAUGUACUGUAAUGGAACGCACCACAUACCAGGGAAAUUGAGAGUGUUAACAUGUAAACACAUAAUCAUGCUUCCUCUCUCAACAAUGCUUCCUCUCUUUUGCACAACUAGCUCCCAUUCAUACAAAGGCACCACUGUAAGCAUUCUUAAAAGAACAUUACAUAUACAUUUUUAUAAACUUGGUGGUUCGAGCCCUGAGUGCUGAUUGGCUGACAGCGGUGGUAUAUCAGACCGUAUACCACGGGUAUGACAAAACAUUUAUUUGUACUGCUCUAAUUACAUUGGUAGCCAGUUUAUAAUAUCAAUAAGGCACCUCGGGGGUUUGUGAUAUAUGGCCAUUAUAUCACAGCUAAGGGCUGUGUUCAUGUACUCUGCGUUGCGUUGUGCAUAAGAACAGCCCUUAGCCGUGGUAUAUUGGCCAUAUACCACACCUCCUUGGGCAAUAUUGCUUAAGUACACCCUCAUAUAUCAAGAAUAUCAAGUAUAACUGAAAUGAAUGAAAAACUAAAUAAAUUGUUUAACUAAAUGCAACCACAGCAUAUGCCAGCUCUAUAAAUUGGCCCAUAGCAUGAUCAAUAGUGGAAUCUGUUUAGGUAGGGUUUCCAUGUCUUGUUACUGUAAUUGAUGACAACCCUUCAUGGCAGUCCAUUUGUUAAAAAUGUUCCCAGAACCAGGUGCCAGUCAACAGGAAGGGCCAAAGUGCCGUGGUGUUUGGCUCUGCUAUGUACAUCUACGGGGGAUACAUUGACAUGAUAGGCUCAUCACAGGAGUUUUGGAAGUUCGAUUUUGACACCAAGUUGUGGACCCUGCUGGACUGCAUCCAGAUGGAGGUGGGUCCUGGACCCAGACACAGCCACUCUGCCAUGACCGUCCUGGACUGCAUGUACCUGUUUGGGGGUCUGAGGGAGCAGAGGGACCUGUGGAGGUGGAACUCCACAUGUCACUCCUGGAGCUGUCUCAGGGCCGACAGACUAGUUCCUUCCUCUCCCCCCUCCACAUUCCUCUUCCAUUUUUGCGGUAAUGCUGCAAUUAGUUGGUUGUAAUUUUGGGUAGAGCAGAAAUGUCCAUAUAUUUUUGUUAGCUGCAUGUGUGACAUAACUCCACCAGUCCUAUUUAUGAUAUCAUUUACGAAGAUUUAUUUUUAUUUUUAUUAUUACUUUUUUUUUAAAUCUAGUAUAUUUGAGUUUAACCACAAUAUUUGUUGUAUUAUUUGUUCUGUUUUGGUGGCGCCACCAUGGGGCAGUCUGUUUACAACAUUGACAUCAGCAAACCUCUCACCCACAAGACGCCAUACACGCUGUCUGCCAUCUAGCCAGUACAGUUGACACCGGGAUUCAUCUAUGAAGAGCACACUUCUCCAGCAUGCCAUUGGCAAUCGCAGGUGAGCAUUUGCCCACUGAAGACGGUUACGACACCGAAUUGCAGUCAGGUCAAGACCCUGGUGAGGACGACAAGCAUGCAAAUGAGCUUCCCUGAGACGGUUUCUGACAGUUUGUACAGAUAUUCUUUGCUUGUGCAAAAUCACAGUUUCAUCAGCUGUCCGGGUGGCUGGUCUCAGACGAUCCCGCAGGUGCAGAAGCCAGAUGUGAAGGUCCUGGGCUGGCGUGGUUACGCAUGUUCAGCGGUUGUGAGGCCUGUUCGGAGUACUGCCAAAUUCUCUAAAAUGACGUUGGAGGUGGCUUAUGAUAGAGAAAUUAACAUUCAAUUCUCUGGCAACCGCUCUGGUAGACAUUCCAUUCUCUCAAAACUUGAAACAUCUUUGGCAUUGUGUUGUGUGACAAAACUACACAUUUUAGAGUGGCCUGUUUUAAUCAGCUUCCUGAUAAGCCACACCUGUCAGGUGGAUGGAUUAUCUUGGCAAAAGAUAAAUGCUCACUAACAGGGAUGUAAACAAAUUUGUGCACAAAAUAUGAGAGAAAUAAGCUUUUUGUGCGUAUGGAAAAUUUCUGGGAUCUUUUAUUUCAGCUCGUGAAACAUGGGACCAACAUGCUACAUGCUAUGUUUAUAUUUUUGUUCUGUAAAUCAGUCAGAAUUAAGAGAAAGAUCUAGAGUGUGUUUGCUGAAGCAAGUUACAAUAAAUAUAUGAUAUAAUAAUAUAAUGUAUGCCAUUUAGCAGAUGCCUUUUCUCCACAAGUACAGCUUCACCACCCGGACCUGGGUGAAGCUUGCCGUGCUACUCAGCUCCAACCCUCCACCCCACAGGAUCUACCACUGUUGUGCUGGCCUAGGCCCCAGCUACCAGCCUGUCGUGACCACCACCACCAUCACCAGCACCACCCUGACCCCCAGCAUCACCAUCAGAAACAGUCUGGACAGCAAUCUACAGUCAUUCAAAAACAAAUGCUUCCCUUCCUCCUCAGAGUUAGAGGGCACUAUAGAGCUGGAGACGUUAAGUAGCUCAGAGAAGCUAUUGACUGAACUGGGGGACUAUUGUAAUGGUCUAAGUGGGAACUAUGCUUAGCGCUUUGGGAACUGUCUGACUUUUUAAAAGAAUUGUUAUACUUUUUUCAUCAAACCCACAACAGUGGCGCUACAAGUGUAAUAUAUAAUUAAAUAUUCACUAUUAGCAAUUAAUGAUUUUAUUUUCAAUACAAUUCAACAAUAAAUUAUUGUAUUUCUGUUUUGCUAUAUAUUUACAUGCAUUUCAUUUGUAAAAGCUGUCAAAAGGGUGGAGGGAACCAAAUGUACUCUUGAUGGUGUUGGGAAGGCUUUCAAUGCAGGCUGCAGAGUUUGCUUCCCACCAGCAGGAUCCGUGGAGGUUACGUGUAAAGUUUUUUAUAGUAAUGGUGAUCAAUGUCAUGCUAAAGUGGAGGGAAAGUCCAUGAAGAUGGACAUUAUUGUGGAUGCGGCAGAGUGGUUCCUGGGGCUAAAAUAUUUCUCAAGAAAGGGAUUACAUGAGGCUCUGUCACAAGCAGUGAUACCCUCUCAGGCCCCAGAGUGUGGGGAGGGAGCUAUUGAAGAAAUGAGGGAGUGUGAUAUAGGUUUUGUUAAGUCAUUUUUUUGUAUGGCAUUUCCUUUUUACCCUUAAGGAGUUUCAUUUUCCCCCUGUACAGAUGGUGGCAACAUAAAUAUAGUAUGACGACCGCCUUUAAACUUCACCGAUGAAGAAGUUCACAAAAGAUCAUGAACAGUCAAAAUCAUGUUUGUCUUGAAAUUGGAUAAUAUUUGGAUGAAACAAGAUAAAGUUGAAUCAUAAAGUUACUGAUCCCGUCCCCCAUGUCAAACACUUUGAUUCUGAAGGUGGGAUUUUUAAGGGGAUAGGGCAACAUCACACUAACUCUUAUUUUAAUACACUAUUGGUAACAUGAUAUUAUAUUCCCUAGCUUAAAUAAGUAACGCCUUGUAAGCAACAUCAGAGAAGGCGUGUUUGCAGAGGGGUCGUAGUUUAUAAAGCUAGAUAGCUACUCUACUGGUGCCAAAAUUGGACUGUAUGGUGUCAGCAAAUGUAAUUAAAAGUUGACACUUCACCUAUGGCAAAGAUACUAAUAUGUUUCCCCUUUCAUCUGUGUCUGGUAUUAGCUAGUUAAUGGCUAGCUAGAUCUUCAUCUGUGUCUGGUAUUAGCUAGUUAAUGGCUAGCUAGGUCUUCAUCUGUGUCUGGUAUUAGCUAGUUAAUGGCUAGCUAGGUCUUCAUCUGUGUCUGGUAUUAGCUAGUUAAUGGCUAGCUAGGUCUUCAUCUGUGUCUGGUAUUAGCUAGUUAAUGGCUAGCUAGAUCUUCAUCUGUGUCUGGU